CAGCAGCGAGAGAGGCCUGCGGUGUGGUGGUCGAUAUGAUAAAAGCGAAAAAAAUGGCGGGCCGAGCAGUCCUACUUGCGGGUGGACCGGGAACGGGGAAGACGGCUUUGGCGCUGGCUGUGUCGCAAGAAUUGGGCACCAAAGUACCUUUUUGUCCCAUCGUGGGUAGUGAGGUUUUCUCGGCGGAGGUCAAGAAAACGGAGGCGCUCAUGGAAAACUUUCGAAGGGCAAUUGGACUACGAGUGCGCG
Molecule: small RNA, 249 nt
Filed under: Histoplasma capsulatum
Lineage: Eukaryota; Fungi; Ascomycota; Eurotiomycetes; Onygenales; Ajellomycetaceae
Also listed under: 1 other name
Description: hypothetical RNA
Source: RNAcentral